UAUAGAAGUAGAGUGCUAUAGAAUGGAUAGCGGCGGACGGGUGAGUAACGCGUGAGUAAUCUGCCUUACACAGGGGGAUAACACAGGGAAACUUGUGCUAAUACCGCAUAACAUACCGAGAUGGCAUCAUUUUGGUAUCAAAGGAGAAGUUCGGUGAAAGAUGAACUCGCGUCCGAUUAGCUAGUUGGUGGGGUAAAAGCCUACCAAGGCGACGAUCGGUAGCCGAUCUGAGAGGUUGAUCGGCCACAUUGGGACUGAGACACGGCCCAGACUCCUACGGGAGGCAGCAGUGGGGAAUAUUGCGCAAUGGGGGAAACCCUGACGCAGCAACGCCGCGUGAAGGAUGAAGGUUUUCGGAUUGUAAACUUCUUUGAUAGGGGACGAAAAAAUGACGGUACCCUAAAAACAAGCCACGGCUAACUACGUGCCAGCAGCCGCGGUAAUACGUAGGUGGCGAGCGUUGUCCGGAAUUACUGGGUGUAAAGGGCGUGUAGGCGGGAUUGCAAGUCAGAUGUGAAAUUCCGAGGCUU
Molecule: ribosomal RNA, 530 nt
Filed under: uncultured Acetivibrio sp.
Lineage: Bacteria; Bacillati; Bacillota; Clostridia; Acetivibrionales; Acetivibrionaceae
Description: bacterial SSU rRNA
Rfam family: Bacterial small subunit ribosomal RNA
Source: RNAcentral